GAGUUUGAUCGUGGCUCAGAUUGAACGCUGGCGGCAUGCCUUACACAUGCAAGUCGAACGGCAGCAUGAUCUAGCUUGCUAGAUUGAUGGCGAGUGGCGAACGGGUGAGUAAUACAUCGGGACGUGCCCUGUAGUGGGGAUAACUAGUCGAAAGAUUAGCUAAUACCGCAUACGACCUGAGGGUGAAAGUGGGGGACCGGCAAGGCCUCAUGCUAUAGGAGCGGCCGAUGUCUGAUUAGCUAGUUGGUGGGGUAAAGGCCCACCAAGGCGACGAUCAGUAGCUGGUCUGAGAGGACGAUCAGCCACACUGGGACUGAGACACGGCCCAGACUCCUACGGGAGGCAGCAGUGGGGAAUUUUGGACAAUGGGCGAAAGCCUGAUCCAGCAAUGCCGCGUGUGUGAAGAAGGCC
RNAcentral lists this ribosomal RNA (411 nucleotides) under uncultured microorganism. RNAcentral's name for it is "bacterial SSU rRNA". It matches the Rfam family "Bacterial small subunit ribosomal RNA", at positions 9 to 416 of the family's 1533-position model. The record is from RNAcentral.